This 439-nucleotide long non-coding RNA is filed under the name Homo sapiens (human). RNAcentral describes it as "non-protein coding lnc-USP6NL-7:23". The record is from RNAcentral. Lineage: Eukaryota; Metazoa; Chordata; Mammalia; Primates; Hominidae.
AUGAACGCUGGGGUGGCCCACAGUGAAGUGAAUCCAAAUACCCAUGUAGUGGACAGCCAGGGUCUGUGGCUGACACACGCAUUGGGCUCCUUUUGUCUUACUCAGCAUUCCUUCUUCCGUGUUCUCAUUGCUUAGAUCUUGACAAAUAUUAUACAUAAUCUGGGGAUGAAUGAAUUUUUCCAUGCUUGAAAGGAACACCUUUGGAAACCCCUGACCAGGGUAAAGCAAGGAUCCCAACGCACUGCGAACAGCUGGGUGACGGAGUACCGUUUACAUCUUCACAGAAGUUUUUCACCAUUUCUCCAAUCAUUCUGUGUUUUCCAGCAAGUUUCUAUAGAAGUAUGCUCCAACUCACUCCGUCGUAAGCACGGCUUCUCUCCUGAGUAUGCUAAACUCCCCAAACGCAGCAACAACACAGCGUUCCGAUCUUUGGAAUUAA